GCGUUGGCAAUAGGCGAAAAAGCACAAAGCCUUGACAUUUCUAAAAUUUUGGAUCUCCCUCAACCAGCACCCUCUUCACCUGCACUCACCAAAGCUCAAGUGAUUACAAUCUCUAUCAUCUCUGUUUUAGUAUUUCUUAUGCUACCAAGUGGGAUCCUGUAUCACUACUUUAGAAAGAAGUACGCAGAGGUUUUUGAGCAGUGGGAACAACUGUUGUAAUUCUCACGAUCUCUCUAUAUUUUACUCUUUCUUUCUCAUUUGUGUUCACUUGUUCUAGAGAAAAAACAAGAACACAUUUACUUUAAUCUUCUACAUUGAUAAUUGCUUGGAUACUUUUCUUACAAGACACACACACAUACAUAUAGUGGUUUUUUCUCCACUUGCUACACUACACUCACUUAGACUCGAGACCAUACUUCUAGUCAUCAUUACCCUAAGACUAGAACCAAGCUUACAAGCAAAGAACUACUAAACCUUACACAACAACAACUCCACUCUACUCUAGCUAAAAUCAUAAGCAAACUCCAACAACUAUUAGUUGGACAAGCUAACAACAACACUAACACAUGUUUGGGCCUAACUAAACAAUUAGCCCAAUCCCUUUUAUUAUUACAAAACAACAAGUCCAACUUCUUCUACCUUGUUGACUUGUUCUCUUGUUGUCGUUGACCUCUUUCACGACAACUUCUCUUCUUCGCUAGCUUCUUCUCUUUGCUCUGUUCUUCUUCUUCUUCUCACUAAAGCUUUCUCCUUUGUUGCAGAUUUAAUCAAGAACUCAAUCUCAACAACAACAAUAUAGCCCCCAAAGAUUCUCGUUUAGGACCCUUUACAAAGCGACCAAUGGUUUCAAGGGGGAUCGGGUUAUUGGAGCAGGAGGAUUUGGCAAGGUUUAUAAAGGAGAUUUAUCUGAUGGUACUCAAGUUGCAGUGAAGAAA
RNAcentral lists this long non-coding RNA (935 nucleotides) under Arabidopsis lyrata. RNAcentral's name for it is "long non-coding RNA (ALYR_LNC001741)". The record is from RNAcentral. Lineage: Eukaryota; Viridiplantae; Streptophyta; Magnoliopsida; Brassicales; Brassicaceae.